AAAGAUACCGUGAAAAGAAAAACACAUCUGAUUUAAAAUCAUAUACUAAGAGUUCAAAUCUCUUUAUCCCUA
Molecule: transfer RNA, 72 nt
Filed under: Lophophysema eversa
Lineage: Eukaryota; Metazoa; Porifera; Hexactinellida; Amphidiscosida; Hyalonematidae
Description: tRNA-Leu
Rfam family: tRNA
About the family: Transfer RNA (tRNA) molecules are approximately 80 nucleotides in length. Their secondary structure includes four short double-helical elements and three loops (D, anti-codon, and T loops).
Source: RNAcentral